Molecule: ribosomal RNA, 595 nt
Filed under: uncultured Burkholderia sp.
Lineage: Bacteria; Pseudomonadati; Pseudomonadota; Betaproteobacteria; Burkholderiales; Burkholderiaceae
Description: bacterial SSU rRNA
Rfam family: Bacterial small subunit ribosomal RNA
Source: RNAcentral
UCGGGUUGUAAAGCACUUUUGUCCGGAAAGAAAUCCUUGAUCCUAAUAUGGUCGGGGGAUGACGGUACCGGAAGAAUAAGCACCGGCUAACUACGUGCCAGCAGCCGCGGUAAUACGUAGGGUGCGAGCGUUAAUCGGAAUUACUGGGCGUAAAGCGUGCGCAGGCGGUUCGCUAAGACCGAUGUGAAAUCCCCGGGCUUAACCUGGGAACUGCAUUGGUGACUGGCGAGCUAGAGUGUGGCAGAGGGGGGGUAGAAUUUCCACGUGUAGCAGUGAAAUGCGUAGAGAUGUGGAGGAAUACCGAUGGCGAAGGCAGCCCCCCUGGGCUAACACUGACGCUCAUGCACGAAAGCGUGGGGAGCAAACAGGAUUAGAUACCCUGGUAGUCCACGCCCUAAACGAUGUCAACUAGUUGUUGGGGAUUCAUUUCCUUAGUAACGUAGCUAACGCGUGAAGUUGACCGCCUGGGGAGUACGGUCGCAAGAUUAAAACUCAAAGGAAUUGACGGGGACCCGCACAAGCGGUGGAUGAUGUGGAUUAAUUCGAUGCAACGCGAAAAACCUUACCUACCCUUGACAUGGACGGAAUCUUGCUG